RNAcentral lists this long non-coding RNA (217 nucleotides) under Elaeis guineensis (African oil palm). Its description in RNAcentral is "long non-coding RNA (EGUI_LNC004194)". Lineage: Eukaryota; Viridiplantae; Streptophyta; Magnoliopsida; Arecales; Arecaceae. The record is from RNAcentral.
CUUCUUGUUUCAGUCCAGGGGGAGAAGCUACUUAUUUGAUAUACUGGAAGUUGAAGCAGAACUUCCCUGGCAAUCAUUCAGAAUAAAAUUUAGUCCAACAGCUUUGGAGGAUGUGAUCUUAGUAUAUCAAAAUAGCAUGCAAUUGGGACUCAGAGUUUCCUUUUUUUUCGCACAGGCAAUUUCAUGGGAAAUAUGACAUAACAAUGUAUUACUUUGC